RNAcentral lists this ribosomal RNA (376 nucleotides) under uncultured bacterium. RNAcentral describes it as "bacterial SSU rRNA". It matches the Rfam family "Bacterial small subunit ribosomal RNA", at positions 524 to 898 of the family's 1533-position model. The record is from RNAcentral.
UACGUAGGGGGCAAGCGUUAUCCGGAUUUACUGGGCGUAAAGCGCGUGUAGGCGGUUGCGUAAGUUGGUUGUGAAAUCCCUCGGCUCAACCGAGGAACUGCAGCCAAUACUGCGCGGCUUGAGUGGCAGAGAGGAAAGUGGAAUUCCCGGUGUAGUAGUGAAAUGCGUAGAUAUCGGGAGGAACACCAGUGGCGAAGGCGACUUUCUGGCUGCUAACUGACGCUGAGACGCGAAAGCUAGGGGAGCGAACGGGAUUAGAUACCCCGGUAGUCCUAGCCCUAAACGAUGCACGCUAGGUGUUGGCCGUAUUGACGCGGUCAGUGCCGUAGCUAACGCAUUAAGCGUGCCGCCUGGGGAGUACGGUCGCAAGAUUAAA